AUGCACUGCACGGAGUAUGACAGGCUUCCGCUAAACCUCCUCUGGGAACUGAGCAUGUCACACAAAUCCACGCUCUCUGCUCAUUGGAUGCCGAAGCCCCUGCACCCCACAGCAGUCUCCCUUCAAGAGAAUUUUUUUUUUCUGCUCACGGGACCUUAUCACAUGGAGCCCCUGACCUUCCAGAAUGGCAGGCGUUCUCUUUCAUGUUCCUUCCUUCCCUUCCAAUGGCUCACCUCGUUGGGUGCUGUUUCCAUUCCUCAUCAUCAGAGAGUUUCAGGAGCGGGGCCUUCCAGUCAGGACAUUUCAUUCCUGUGCUGGCACCAGCACCACCCCGUCAGAAGGAUCUCCAAUGGUUCUGAUCUCAUUGGAACAUUUCAUUACUCCCUGAGACGUGAGGAUGGUUGCAGAAAUGGGACAGAGGGAACUGUAUCUUGCCCAACUGGAGAUCCACAAGGAGGAGAGAUACUCAACAGUUACUCUGCUGCUGCAAUGGAUCCCUGAGGUCCAUGUGACAUUGGGCUAGGCUGCUGCAAUUGAAUGACUG
RNAcentral lists this long non-coding RNA (544 nucleotides) under Vulpes vulpes (red fox). RNAcentral's name for it is "lncRNA (ENSVVUG00000019310.1)". The record is from RNAcentral. Lineage: Eukaryota; Metazoa; Chordata; Mammalia; Carnivora; Canidae.